RNAcentral lists this ribosomal RNA (294 nucleotides) under Acinetobacter baumannii. RNAcentral describes it as "partial 16S ribosomal RNA". It matches the Rfam family "Bacterial small subunit ribosomal RNA", at positions 1 to 295 of the family's 1533-position model. Lineage: Bacteria; Pseudomonadati; Pseudomonadota; Gammaproteobacteria; Moraxellales; Moraxellaceae. The record is from RNAcentral.
UUUAACUGAAGAGUUUGAUCAUGGCUCAGAUUGAACGCUGGCGGCAGGCUUAACACAUGCAAGUCGAGCGGGGGAAGGUAGCUUGCUACCGGACCUAGCGGCGGACGGGUGAGUAAUGCUUAGGAAUCUGCCUAUUAGUGGGGGACAACAUCUCGAAAGGGAUGCUAAUACCGCAUACGUCCUACGGGAGAAAGCAGGGGAUCUUCGGACCUUGCGCUAAUAGAUGAGCCUAAGUCGGAUUAGCUAGUUGGUGGGGUAAAGGCCUACCAAGGCGACGAUCUGUAGCGGGUCUGA